UAGGGAAUCUUCGGCAAUGGGGGGAACCCUGACCGAGCAACGCCGCGUGAGUGAAGAAGGUUUUCGGAUCGUAAAGCUCUGUUGUUAAGGAAGAACGAGUGUGAGAAUGGAAAGUUCAUACUGUGACGGUACUUAACCAGAAAGGGACGGCUAACUACGUGCCAGCAGCCGCGGUAAUACGUAGGUCCCGAGCGUUGUCCGGAUUUAUUUGGCGUAAAGCGAGCGCAGGCGGUUAGAUAAGUCUGAAGUUAAAGGCAGUGGCUCAACCAUUGUAGGCUUUGGAAACUGUUUAACUUGAGUGCAGAAGGGGAGAGUGGAAUUCCAUGUGUAGCGGUGAAAUGCGUAGAUAUAUGGAGGAACACCGGUGGCGAAAGCGGCUCUCUGGUCUGUAACUGACGCUGAGGCUCGAAAGCGUGGGGAGCGAACAGG
This 429-nucleotide ribosomal RNA is filed under the name Bacteroidota bacterium. RNAcentral describes it as "Bacteroidetes bacterium partial 16S ribosomal RNA". It matches the Rfam family "Bacterial small subunit ribosomal RNA", at positions 355 to 776 of the family's 1533-position model. The record is from RNAcentral. Lineage: Bacteria; Pseudomonadati; Bacteroidota.